AAGAAACCAACUAUUUACAACCAUUACAAAGUCCUACGAUCUGCCACAUCAGUUUUACACAGGGAAGGGAAUUAGAAGAAGGGAAUUCACGUCAAUCACAGACAUCCUGUCGAGCAUGUGUCAGGUGCCACAUUGGUUCUAAGUGCUUCAUCUAACUCAUUGAAUCUCCGUAACAAUUCUGUGCAGUGACAUUAUUUUUCUCAUUUUACAGCUGAAUAAACUGAUUUUCAGAGAGUUUAUGUAGCUUGUGCAAGACCACACAGCUGGCAAAUAACUGAGCCAGGAUUCAAAUCCUGAUCUUCCCAAUACCCAAGGCCAUGCUCUUUUUAGGACCCUUCAGUUCUCCCUUUAGUCCUUUCUCUAAUUAUGUCACUCUGAAGGAGUCAAAUCUCUUUGCUUUGAAUUUAAUGAAGUUGUGCUUUAAGGUUUUCCUGGUGUUCAGCAAAUAUACAAGGCUCCUCAUGACAUUAAACUGCUCUUAUAUUGUAUUUAACCUUUUAAGAACAGAAUCAAGCAUUUGCCAAAAGUAGAGAAUUAAUUGUGUAACUAAUUAAUUCAGUUCACAUAGUUAUUUGUUUAAUGUUGUUUGAUGUGUCUGUCCAACUUAAUAUUUAUCUGGGGUCGUUGACAGAACUACGUUGAUUUGUAGGAUAGGUUUCUGAAGGAAAAUACUUUUUUUAAACUAAACAGUUUCUAUUCUAAUCACAAAUAGGAAAGGAAGAAACUUUUUAAAAUGAAAAAUAUAUAACCACUCAUUUUUGAGGAUCUCACAAAAACAAAGUAUUAUGCAAGUAAUCUGAAGCCAAAAGCCACAGGCUGAGAUUUGCCAUGCUGAAGGUUUUUUUUUUUUUUUUUUUAAUCUACAAAUGUUUCUUUGAAUUCUUGAAUGCUCUAUCCUGUGCCAGUGAAAGAUGUUUUUCUUUAAAGAUCUUAGCAGUGACUGACAUAUCACUGUUUGAGCAGAUGAUCCUGAGAAAGUAACCAAAGCCAUUUACAGAACAGGCGUUUCUGUAACUUGGGCCCUUUACGGAAGUAAGCCAGUGGGCUUGCGUGUUGUUUGAAGACUGGGCUUAUCUUUGUUCAGUGUUUUGCUUUGAGAGCACGACUGACUUUGAGUUUCAUCUGCACUCUGUGACCAAUUGUGAGACAGACCCAAAGUCUGAAGUUUGUGUUGACUUUAGAAAGUCAUUCUCUGAAGCCUUUUUUUGGAAUGAGUUUAAAGAAGGAAGAGUACCAAAAGCCAGGUCCAGUCUUGUAGUGGAUGUUUUGGAAAGAAAGGAUCAUGGUUCUCUGGGACCAUCAGAGUGGAUCAGAUUACAUUCUAAUGUAAUGAUGAAAACAAAGAACAAUAAAUCAGAGGGACUCUAAAACAUCCUAAAAUCUUCCCUCAGGCAAAUAAUACCAAAUCUUCGAGGGUGGAUAAUUGUUUUCUCUCCAUUUUCUUUUUUCUUUUUCCUUGCAGAUUGACAGAAUUAAAAAUUUGACAAGCCCCAUCAGUGGUUCAUUUAAGUGUUUUGGUAUACAGGUGAUUAGAAACUAUAAAAUCUCUUCUGCUUUAUUUUAAAGCUAUUGUCUUGCUCAGACUGCGUAAUUUAAAGGCAACUGUGUUAAUGUCUGUGGUGAAAAAUUUCUGAUCCUAAAAGUCAUGGACAAAAAGGGGGCAUUUGCCUACCUAGUGUCAAGGAGCUUAAACUGUAAUCAGAAGUCCAUGCAUUAUUGUUUUAUUCAAAUGUAAAGGGAAGAUGAAUGCUCAAGAUACCGCAAAGGAUCUUCUUAAAAUAUGCAAUUUGUGUGACUCUUGCUGAGUCAGAUGAGUGGGUGAUGCUGGGCAGAGCUGUAGAAGAAAACUGACUUUCAGCAAGGAAUAAGAAUCCAUGCUAAACAGUACAGAAGUGAGGCUGAGAAUAUGCUCAAGGAGAGUGCGGUGGUUGGAAUGUUUGUCCCUUCCAAAACUCACGUUCACAUUUAAUCCCCAGUGUGGCAGUAUUGAGAGGUAGAAUCUUUAAGAGGUGAUUGGGUCAUGAGGGCUUUGCCCUCAUGAAUUGAUUAAUCCACUCAUGGAUUAAUGGAUUAACGGGUUAGUGGAUUAAUGGGUUGUCAUGGGAGUGGGGCUUGUGGCUCUGUAAGAAGAGAAAGAGAGAGCAACACUCAGCCCCCUCGCCAUGUGAUGCCCUGCACUGCCUCGGAGUUUGCAGAGACUCACGACCAGCAAGAAGGCUCUCACCAGAUACCGUCUCUCAACCUUGGACUUCCCAGUAUCCAGAACUGUAAGAAAUAAAUUUCAUUUCUUUAUAAGUUAUCCAGUUUCAGGUAUUCUAUAAGCAACAGAAAAUGGACUAAAACAGAGAGGGAAGCCUCUGGAAGGGGGAAGCCUGAGUGGUUAAGUGGAGAAAACUAUGUAUUCAAUUAAGAUAGGGUGACAAAACCCAAGUGUGAAACCUACUAGUGGGGACUGGCAGAAAGAUACCCUAUUUAAACAGUGUUCUGUCCUUACGUAACGUUAUUCUCUAAUUGGCAUCUCUUAGAAAAUGGCUGGAUUUGGCCCACUUAGUUAAGUAGGUCCAGGAGGGGCAGAGACUUGGAGUUUAUUCAUUUUGGGAGGAAGCCCAGAAUAGUCAAUAGAACUAAAGGUAUGACGAUAGUGUUAGGUGCAUGUCCUGUAAUGUAGUUGGAAUCCUAAAAACUGGGAUAAGUUUGAGGUGUAGGGGUUACCCGAUUACAAUUUAUCCCUGGUUUUUGUCUUCAUUGUCUGCAUUGCUGUUAGGUUUUCUGAAGCCUUGUCUUCUCUAGUUUAAAUUGGAGCAGGAAUUAUUCUUUGAUAAAAGGCAGUAGUACCUCAGCUAACUUUCUCACUCAGAAUAUAUUUAGUCAACAGAUAACUGUUGACACAUACUAAAUACAAGUUCAUUACAUACUUUUGGAGGAUAUAAAGAUAAAUCAGGCAGAGUUUAUUCUUUUCUCAUGUAAUGGGGGUGGAGGCGAUGGACCAUCAUUUAAUGGUUGAGAACUGGGGUUCUGCAGUCAGACCCAAGCUGGUUCAGACCCUGGUGUUGCAAUGUACCAGAUGUAUA
Molecule: long non-coding RNA, 3071 nt
Filed under: Homo sapiens (human)
Lineage: Eukaryota; Metazoa; Chordata; Mammalia; Primates; Hominidae
Description: HSALNT0343467
Source: RNAcentral